CCAAGCCUGGAUUCAUUUUCAUUUUCCAGUAUCCCCUCUUCUCCAGUCUUUAUAUAUUGACAUUUCAUGAAGUAGAGAAGGGUAAUUUGAAUAACCCACCCCGGUGGCCCUGACGUACAAAGGUGAAUCAAAAGACAAGUGUGGAAAGAUAAGAGGAUGUCCCACCUAACUCUUGUGUCUCAGCAGCAGAUGCUGAUGUGAGGAGGAGACACACUACCCAUUAAUUAGCAUCCAAGGACCAUCUACUAAGAUGAGGAGGAGUGCAGCCCCCAUCAUUGGAAGCAGCAGCCCCGCAAACAAAAGCUCAGUUCCUGGAAGUCUUGCAAAAAGACUGAUUUACUGUCUGCUCU
Non-coding RNA from Phascolarctos cinereus (koala), 350 nucleotides. Lineage: Eukaryota; Metazoa; Chordata; Mammalia; Diprotodontia; Phascolarctidae. The record is from RefSeq and is a predicted model, not a curated record.